UACGUAGGUGGCAAGCGUUAUCCGGAUUUACUGGGCGUAAAGCGUCUGUAGCUGGUUAAGUAAGUCUGUUUUCAAAUAUCUUGACUCAAUCAGGAAAAGGGGAUGGAUACUGCUUUUCUGGAGUAUUGUAGGGGUUAGUGGAAUUUCCAGUGGAGCGGUGAAAUGCGUUGAUAUUGGAAGGAACGCCAAAAGCGAAAGCAGCUAACUAUGCAAUUACUGACAGUGAGAGACGAAAGCUUGGGUAGCAAACGGG
RNAcentral lists this ribosomal RNA (253 nucleotides) under uncultured bacterium. RNAcentral's name for it is "partial 16S ribosomal RNA". It matches the Rfam family "Bacterial small subunit ribosomal RNA", at positions 524 to 776 of the family's 1533-position model. The record is from RNAcentral.